UUCACUUGAAUCAAGCUACUCCCAGCUUCUGCACACAUCUGGUCCAACACUACUUUGGGAUAUGUUUUGCUAAGGUUGCUGUUCUGCCUGGAAGGCCCUCAUUCCUCAGCUGCAUGACCCGAGGUUUCCUUCCUCUAAGACCUUGCUAGCGGCUCCUAGAUGCCUUCCAAACCAAAUUCUCUUCUAUGAGAUCAGCUCUUAGCUUUGUAUUCCCUGGCACUUAUGGAGUAUGUUAUGGAGAAAGACUGUCUAGUUGAAGGAAAACAAGCUCUGGGCUCCCACUGAUUCUACGUUAUGAGGAAUUUCUCAAGAUUUUAUCUUUACUGAUUGAUUUCUAAGGGAUGCUACUUGCUUCUAACAUCAUGUUAAUCAGCAAUGUAAGCUCUGGCAUAGCUUACCAACCCUAAGAGUGGCAGGGAGUUGCUCUGUGUAAUGGUGGAGUACUCAGCUGUCUUCUCCAUGGUGGUUGAGUUCUCUGGAUGGGAUCAGCUUUCUUCACAUGUCACUGAAGUGAAAGGGGACAAUUGAAACCUAUUUUGACAGGUUUAAAAGCUAAAGCCAAGCCAGGAAGAGGAAGACAAGAUGAGAAACCCCAAAUCAAGGUAAGAGAAGAAAAUAAGUGCAACAUGCCAGAAAUCCAGUAAAGCAGUUCAAGUAUCAGAAGAGCGUGAAUCAAAACCAAGUGCAAGAAGAGGCACCUUGACAUUGAACUGAAGGCCACCAGUCUCCUGCCAGUGCUUCCAAUCGCUGAACUGAACUGGGAACAAAUCAACAAGGGAAACCAAGAGAUGCAUUCCUUGAAGUUCAGCCUCCAGGCCUCAAGUAAGGCAGAGGAAGAGAAUACAUAGAUCUGUGGAGAAGAGUGGUGAUGGUGGGAGCUGCCAAUAAAGAACUAUCAAAAAAGGAUGAUGCAACAGAAAAGCCGUCACCAGAUACCAGCACCUUAAUGUUGGACUUCUCAGCCUCCAGAACUGUAAGAAAUAAAUCCCUGUUCUUUAUAAAUUACCCAGUCUCAGGUAUCCUGCUAUAGCAGCACAAAAUGGACUAUGAUAGAAAAUUGGUAUGAAGGAGUAGUACCAUUGUUAUAACAAAUACCUAAAAAUGGAAGCCACUCUGGAACUGGGUAAGGGGUAGAGUAUGGAAGAAUUUAGAGGAGCAGGCUAGAAAAAGCCUAAAUUGCUGUGUAUUACUCCAGGAUGGUAAGAAAUAAAUCUCUGUUCUUUAUAAAUUGCCCAGACUCACAGCACAAAACAAAUUAAGACAUUAAGAUUUGCCCCAUUCUUAGAAUUCAUUUCUUCCAUUUUCCCUUUAAUUAAAUCAAUGCCAGCAUCUAAGCAGUGUGCACCUUUUGACCAUAGUCUUUCUAAUUGACCAGAAGCUUAGAUGUGGAAAAUGCAAAAACUAUGCACAUUUCUGAUGGGUUUAACUUCUGAGAAAUUUUUACAAGGUUUUCCUUAUUUUAUCUGCUCCAGUAAACCUGUGGUUUCAUGAACAGGCCUAGAAUUUGAGAUUCAGCUUCUAAACUUCAAAGGUGACCUUUCAACCCAUUUGUUUAUAGACUCGGUAUUAACCUUUUGAGUUCUAGAAUAGGGUUUUAGAACUUACUUUCAUAAAAGUUUAUAUAGUCAAUUCCAUUCAUUUAUGCUAAGGACAUAGAAUAUUUCUAGAUUGCACAAUAUGUUUCUGUGGGAAUUGAAUGGAAAUCCAGGUUUCCUGACAAGAAACAAAGGAUCUUUGGGAGGCCGAGACAGGCGGAUCACGAGGUCAGGAGAUCGAGACCAUCCUGGCUAACA
This 1793-nucleotide long non-coding RNA is filed under the name Homo sapiens (human). RNAcentral's name for it is "HSALNT0336612". The record is from RNAcentral. Lineage: Eukaryota; Metazoa; Chordata; Mammalia; Primates; Hominidae.